Molecule: transfer RNA, 74 nt
Filed under: Desulfocicer vacuolatum DSM 3385
Lineage: Bacteria; Pseudomonadati; Thermodesulfobacteriota; Desulfobacteria; Desulfobacterales; Desulfobacteraceae
Also listed under: 1 other name
Description: Desulfobacterium vacuolatum DSM 3385 tRNA
Rfam family: tRNA
About the family: Transfer RNA (tRNA) molecules are approximately 80 nucleotides in length. Their secondary structure includes four short double-helical elements and three loops (D, anti-codon, and T loops).
Source: Rfam by way of RNAcentral
CGGGAUGUGGCUCAGUCUGGUAGAGCACAGCGUUCGGGACGCUGGGGUCGGAAGUUCGAAUCUUCUCAUCCCGA